ACUAUACCCAUGCCUUCUCAUCUGAUGGCUUUAGGGCAUGGUCCAGUGAAGGUUCCCCCACCCCCAAGCUCGAGUCUGUGCUCAUCAUGUGAGUGCAGAGGUUCUGUUGCUCAGGUCUGGAGAGCUCCCCUCUCAACCACCAAGCUCGAUCUGUCCUAGAGCUCUUGCAUGUCGGCACCCAGUUUAGUGACCAGAUCCACCAAAACCCCACUUCACUGUGGCCAGACCGUAGUCGCGCCACCGCAAAUCGUUGUUGUGUUUAGUUUCUUCGUCGACCAGCCAACAUAUGUCUUCCUCGAGCAGUUUCAUGCACCCACCGAAAACUUGGACUGUGAGGAGAAGUUUAUUCCCUUAUCUUUUGGUUAGUUACAUCAUGUGGAGGCCUUGAAGCUUAGAAUGUUUAUGUGUAUCUCUUAUGGAAAGGCUUCACCCUUCCAAUUAUUAUAAUCAGUUAUGCACUUUGGGUACUAUCAGGACUUGUAAUAAUUACAAUUCUUCUUAUGUUGUAAAAUUUGAGCUUUGUAAAUGUAAAAUAUGUUUUGUAAAGUCUUCCGCUCUAUCUCCGAA
Molecule: long non-coding RNA, 567 nt
Organism: Zea mays
Lineage: Eukaryota; Viridiplantae; Streptophyta; Magnoliopsida; Poales; Poaceae
Exons: 2
Source: RefSeq, a predicted model, not a curated record